UGUACACCACCCCCGUCACACCAUGGAAGCUGGUCACGCCCGAAGUCAUUACCUCAACCGCAAGGAGGGGGAUGCCUAAGGCAGGGCUAGUGACUGGGGUGAAGUCGUAACAAGGUAGCCGUACCGGAAGGUGUGGCUGGAUCACCUCCUUA
This 152-nucleotide ribosomal RNA is filed under the name Microcystis sp. KR_C. RNAcentral describes it as "partial 16S ribosomal RNA". It matches the Rfam family "Bacterial small subunit ribosomal RNA", at positions 1382 to 1533 of the family's 1533-position model. RNAcentral also lists the same sequence under 1 other name. Lineage: Bacteria; Bacillati; Cyanobacteriota; Cyanophyceae; Chroococcales; Microcystaceae. The record is from RNAcentral.